UCGGCUCAAUUUGAAUAAAUAUACUCUCAAAAAAAUUACUAUUAAGUUGAUAUUUUUGAUACUCGAGUACUUUAGUCUAACUUGUCUCGUAUGGUGCAAAAUAAAGGAUUUCACCGUCUCUGGUUAUGGAGGCAACAUAAUAAACAGCAUUAUUUAUAGAGAUUUUGUUUAUUUUUAGUUGUUGUUUUUUUUGAGAAUUUGUAAGAAAUGACUUGCAUGUUUAUUUUAUUCUAGUUAUAGCAGAUAGUCUCAUCAUACAAUAAUGUUAUAACACUCUAAUUCCACAUCGAAAGAUAUUGAAAAAAUUUGUCUGUAUAUAAGAAAUUAAGUAACUACCAAUAGUACAUUCAACAAGAUACUAUUGGGUCAAUGGUUUAAGGCUUUAUUUGGACAGAUUUGAUUCGAUUCGGACUUAGGAUAAAACCCGAGACCCUCGAAAGCAACAAAAUAUAAUUAAAUAAUAUUCCUUUUUGGAUUUUGACACAAUUAAC
This 491-nucleotide long non-coding RNA is filed under the name Panax ginseng (ginseng). Its description in RNAcentral is "long non-coding RNA (PGIN_LNC002008)". The record is from RNAcentral. Lineage: Eukaryota; Viridiplantae; Streptophyta; Magnoliopsida; Apiales; Araliaceae.